Molecule: ribosomal RNA, 429 nt
Filed under: Acidobacteriota bacterium
Lineage: Bacteria; Pseudomonadati; Acidobacteriota
Description: Acidobacteria bacterium partial 16S ribosomal RNA
Rfam family: Bacterial small subunit ribosomal RNA
Source: RNAcentral
UGGGGAAUUUUGGACAAUGGGGGAAACCCUGAUCCAGCCAUCCCGCGUGUGCGAUGAAGGCCUUCGGGUUGUAAAGCACUUUUGGCAGGAAAGAAACGUCAUGGGUUAAUACCCCGUGAAACUGACGGUACCUGCAGAAUAAGCACCGGCUAACUACGUGCCAGCAGCCGCGGUAAUACGUAGGGUGCAAGCGUUAAUCGGAAUUACUGGGCGUAAAGCGUGCGCAGGCGGUUCGGAAAGAAAGAUGUGAAAUCCCAGAGCUCAACUUUGGAACUGCAUUUUUAACUACCGGGCUAGAGUGUGUCAGAGGGAGGUGGAAUUCCGCGUGUAGCAGUGAAAUGCGUAGAUAUGCGGAGGAACACCGAUGGCGAAGGCAGCCUCCUGGGAUAACACUGACGCCCAUGCACGAAAGCGUGGGGAGCAAACAGG